GAUGAAGAACGCAGCGAAAUGCGAUAAGUAAUGUGAAUUGCAGAGUUCAGUGAAUCAUCGAAUCUUUGAACGCACAUUGCGCCCGCCAGUAUUCUGGCGGGCAUGCCUGUUCGAGCGUCAUUACAACCCUCAGGCCCCCGGGCCUGGCGUUGGGGAUCGGCAGAAGCCCCCUGUGGGCACACGCCGUCCCUCAAAUACAGUGGCGGUCCCGCCGCAGCUUCCAUUGCGUAGUAGCUAACACCUCGCAACUGGAGAGCGGCGCGGCCAUGCCGUAAAACACCCAACUUCUGAAUGUUGACCUCGAAUCAGGUAGGAAUACCCGCUGAACUUAAGCAUAUCAAUAAGCGGAGGA
This 352-nucleotide unclassified non-coding RNA is filed under the name soil metagenome. Its description in RNAcentral is "partial contains 5.8S ribosomal RNA, internal transcribed spacer 2, and large subunit ribosomal RNA". The stretch from base 1 to 120 matches the Rfam family "5.8S ribosomal RNA", at positions 35 to 154 of the family's 154-position model. The record is from RNAcentral.